GGGAAUAAACGCUAUCUGCAGUCGAGCGAACGGAUAAGGAGCUUGCUCCUUUGAAGUUAGCGGCGGACGGGUGAGUAACACGUGGGUAACCUACCUAUAAGACUGGAAUAACUUCGGGAAACCGGAGCUAAUGCCGGAUAACAUAUAGAACCGCAUGGUUCUAUAGUGAAAGAUGGUUUUGCUAUCACUUAUAGAUGGACCCGCGCCGUAUUAGCUAGUUGGUAAGGUAAUGGCUUACCAAGGCGACGAUACGUAGCCGACCUGAGAGGGUGAUCGGCCACACUGGAACUGAGACACGGUCCAGACUCCUACGGGAGGCAGCAGUAGGGAAUCUUCCGCAAUGGGCGAAAGCCUGACGGAGCAACGCCGCGUGAGUGAUGAAGGUUUUCGGAUCGUAAAACUCUGUUAUUAGGGAAGAACAAAUGCGUAAGUAACUGUGCGCAUCUUGACGGUACCUAAUCAGAAAGCCACGGCUAACUACGUGCCAGCAGCCGCGGUAAUACGUAGGUGGCAAGCGUUAUCCGGAAUUAUUGGGCGUAAAGCGCGCGUAGGCGGUUUCUUAAGUCUGAUGUGAAAGCCCACGGCUCAACCGUGGAGGGUCAUUGGAAACUGGGAAACUUGAGUGCAGAAGAGGAAAGUGGAAUUCCAUGUGUAGCGGUGAAAUGCGCAGAGAUAUGGAGGAACACCAGUGGCGAAGGCGACUUUCUGGUCUGUAACUGACGCUGAUGUGCGAAAGCGUGGGGAUCAAACAGGAUUAGAUACCCUGGUAGUCCACGCCGUAAACGAUGAGUGCUAAGUGUUAGGGGGUUUCCGCCCCUUAGUGCUGCAGCUAACGCAUUAAGCACUCCGCCUGGGGAGUACGACCGCAAGGUUGAAACUCAAAGGAAUUGACGGGGACCCGCACAAGCGGUGGAGCAUGUGGUUUAAUUCGAAGCAACGCGAAGAAGCCUUACCAAAUCUUGACAUCCUUUGAAAACUCUAGAGAUAGAGCCUUCCCCUUCGGGGGACAAAGUGACAGGUGGUGCAUGGGUUGUCGUCAGCUCGUGUCGUGAGAUGUUGGGGUUAAGUCCCCGCAACGAGCGCAACCCCUUAAAGGCUUAGUUGCCAUCAUUAAGGUUUGGGCACUCUAAGUUUGACUGCGGUGGACAAUCGAGUAGGUGGGGAUGACGUCAAUUCAUCAUGGCCCCGUAAUGGAAUUGGGGCUUAACACACACCGGUUGCCCCUACAC
RNAcentral lists this ribosomal RNA (1229 nucleotides) under Staphylococcus sp. RNAcentral's name for it is "bacterial SSU rRNA". It matches the Rfam family "Bacterial small subunit ribosomal RNA", at positions 44 to 1242 of the family's 1533-position model. The record is from RNAcentral. Lineage: Bacteria; Bacillati; Bacillota; Bacilli; Caryophanales; Staphylococcaceae.